RNAcentral lists this ribosomal RNA (403 nucleotides) under uncultured bacterium. RNAcentral describes it as "partial 16S ribosomal RNA". It matches the Rfam family "Bacterial small subunit ribosomal RNA", at positions 28 to 526 of the family's 1533-position model. The record is from RNAcentral.
GACGAACGCUGGCGGCGUGCCUAAUACAUGCAAGUCGAACGCAGUGGGGACGGGUGAGUAACACGUGGGUAACCUCCCAUCAGAGGGGAUAACACUUGGAAACAGGUGCUAAACCGAUACUGAUGGAUGGACCCGCGGUGCAUUAGCUAGUUGGUGAGGUAACGGCUCCCCAAGGCCACGAUGCAUAGCCGGCCUGAGAGGUGGAGCGGCCCAACUGGGACUGAGACACGGCCCAGACUCCUACGGGAGGCAGCAGUAGGGAAUCUUCGACAAUGGACGAAAGUCUGACCGAGCAACGCCGCGUGAGUGAAGAAGGUUUUCGGAUCGUAAAGCUCUGUUGUUAGAGAAGCGGUAUCUAACCAUAAAGCCACGGCUAACUACGUGCCAGCAGCCGCGGUAAUAC